AAUUCAUCAACCCAAGGUCCUUGGAGUUUACUCUGAGGGCUUGAGGGUCGGAUCUGGGCCAUUUGCUGCUUUGGCAGCAAUAGCCUGAAAUUGAAUGUUACGCUCCUAUGGACUGUGAAGUCUUGGGCAAACGCAUGAAUGAGGUAACUCAGAAGUACGUGGGCCUUUGAGAACGAUCAAUUCUUAGUUGGGUGACUCAACUGAUUAACCAGAGUUUGCCGGCGCUAGCUUGCUUAUUCUGAAC
Molecule: unclassified non-coding RNA, 244 nt
Filed under: Rhizophlyctis rosea
Lineage: Eukaryota; Fungi; Chytridiomycota; Chytridiomycetes; Rhizophlyctidales; Rhizophlyctidaceae
Description: sequence contains ITS2
Source: RNAcentral